RNAcentral lists this long non-coding RNA (681 nucleotides) under Homo sapiens (human). Its description in RNAcentral is "HSALNT0018570". Lineage: Eukaryota; Metazoa; Chordata; Mammalia; Primates; Hominidae. The record is from RNAcentral.
AAUACACUCUCUUGCCCUUGAAGUUACUCAGGGCUAUAUGACUUUCUGGGGAAAGUUUAUAGUGUGGUGCUGCUGCUCCACUCUCCAAGGGCUCCCCCGACACUGCCCUUGGUCCCACCACUGUGCUCAUAGCGGCAUGUGUGGAUAUGGAUAGCAGAUGUGAAUUGGAAGCAGCCUGGAACAUUGCAUCAACACAUGAAGGGCAGCUCCCAGGAAAGACACCUGCUCUGCAGACUUGGAUAGCAAGAAAUAAGCCAUUGUUGUAUGAAGCCAAUCAGAUUUUUAUAUUCCAGCAUAACUUUGCCCAUCCUGAGAUACUGUCCAAAGGAGUGUGAAAAUUGCAGUGCAUGCAUGCAGAGAAUAAAGACGACAUUCUGAGCCUCCCUUACAGUGAGGUAUUGUCCUGUGACUAAGCUCUAGCUAACAGGAUUUGCAUGGAAGUACUGCAUUCAACUUCUGGAUUGCACACUUCAAGGGACAGGGAGAGUUCUCCCUGUUGUUUCUGCCUUGCUGGCUGAAACGCAUCCAUGGUGGUGAGACACCUGGGACUCCACAAUUAAGGGCAGUACCUCGUGGAGUGUGAGAAGCAAUACACAAGAAGCCUGGGACUCUGAACACUUUGUGGAACAAAGCCACUACAGCAGCUCAGACUUUUUCAAGAAGAAAUAAACUUCCAUUUUU